Ipomoea nil (Japanese morning glory) is the source of this 365-nucleotide long non-coding RNA. RefSeq lists it as uncharacterized. The record is from RefSeq and is a predicted model, not a curated record. Lineage: Eukaryota; Viridiplantae; Streptophyta; Magnoliopsida; Solanales; Convolvulaceae. The transcript is spliced from 2 exons.
CCCCAUUUCGCCGAAACGCAUGUGGAUCGGAGCAAGAUUAAUUUCGAGUGCAUCGGCCAUCAUCCUCCCCAUCAUCAAGGCAGAAGGAGUUAGGCAGAUGUUCUUCCCGGCGACUCUUCCGGCAUAUUACAGAGCUCCUCCUGCCUCCUGCUAAAUCAAAGCGGCCGGCCGGCUGGCGGGGAUAUAUGCUUCCAUUCAACAAACAUAUUAUUGUAUCUCUAAUUUGUCUCUCUUUCUCCCCUUUUGUUCAUUAACUUCAAGUAAAUAUUGCGCACAACAUUUAUAGAUUCCUGUCUUAUGUACUCUCCAGCAUCAAUCUUUUACAGAUUACUAUGGCGAUGUAAUGUGAACUGUCAAUUACUUCC